Molecule: ribosomal RNA, 776 nt
Filed under: uncultured Arthrobacter sp.
Lineage: Bacteria; Bacillati; Actinomycetota; Actinomycetes; Micrococcales; Micrococcaceae
Description: bacterial SSU rRNA
Rfam family: Bacterial small subunit ribosomal RNA
Source: RNAcentral
AGAGUUUGAUCAUGGCUCAGGAUGAACGCUGGCGGCGUGCUUAACACAUGCAAGUCGAACGAUGAUCCCAGCUUGCUGGGGGAUUAGUGGCGAACGGGUGAGUAACACGUGAGUAACCUGCCCUUAACUCUGGGAUAAGCCUGGGAAACUGGGUCUAAUACCGGAUAUGACUCCUCAUCGCAUGGUGGGGGGUGGAAAGCUUUAUUGUGGUUUUGGAUGGACUCGCGGCCUAUCAGCUUGUUGGUGAGGUAAUGGCUCACCAAGGCGACGACGGGUAGCCGGCCUGAGAGGGUGACCGGCCACACUGGGACUGAGACACGGCCCAGACUCCUACGGGAGGCAGCAGUGGGGAAUAUUGCACAAUGGGCGAAAGCCUGAUGCAGCGACGCCGCGUGAGGGAUGACGGCCUUCGGGUUGUAAACCUCUUUCAGUAGGGAAGAAGCGAAAGUGACGGUACCUGCAGAAGAAGCGCCGGCUAACUACGUGCCAGCAGCCGCGGUAAUACGUAGGGGGCAAGCGUUGUCCGGAUUUAUUGGGCGUAAAGAGCUCGUAGGCGGCUUGGCAAGUCGGGUGUGAAAACUUCAGGCUCAACCUGGAGAUGGCACUCGAUACUGCUAUGGCUAGAGUCCGGUAGGGGACCACGGAAUUCCUGGUGUAGCGGUGAAAUGCGUAGAGAUGUGGAGGAACACCGAUGGCGAAGGCAGCCCCCUGGGCUAACACUGACGCUCAUGCACGAAAGCGUGGGGAGCAAACAGGAUUAGAUACCCCGGUAGUCC